This 467-nucleotide ribosomal RNA is filed under the name uncultured bacterium. Its description in RNAcentral is "partial 16S ribosomal RNA". It matches the Rfam family "Bacterial small subunit ribosomal RNA", at positions 28 to 506 of the family's 1533-position model. The record is from RNAcentral.
GACGAACGCUGGCGGCGUGCUUAACACAUGCAAGUCGAACGGAAAGGCCCUGCUUUUGUGGGGUGCUCGAGUGGCGAACGGGUGAGUAACACGUGAGUAACCUGCCCUUGACUUUGGGAUAACUUCAGGAAACUGGGGCUAAUACCGGAUAGGAGCUCCUGCUGCAUGGUGGGGGUUGGAAAGUUUCGGCGGUUGGGGAUGGACUCGCGGCUUAUCAGCUUGUUGGUGGGGUAGUGGCUUACUAAGGCUUUGACGGGUAGCCGGCCUGAGAGGGUGACCGGCCACAUUGGGACUGAGAUACGGCCCAGACUCCUACGGGAGGCAGCAGUGGGGAAUAUUGCACAAUGGGCGGAAGCCUGAUGCAGCAACGCCGCGUGCGGGAUGACGGCCUUCGGGUUGUAAACCGCUUUCGCCUGUGACGAAGCGUGAGUGACGGUAAUGGGUAAAGAAGCACCGGCUAACUACGU